GCUGGGACAAUGAUGAAGGAAUCACAUUGCUGCAGCAGACUGCAUCUCUCAUGUUUAAUUUUCGUUUAAUUCCUGAGGAAGGCAGAGGCUCAAAGGAAUGACUCACCCUCACGCUCAUCCUUCAGAAACACUCUUGCCGACCCCUCGGACGCCAAAUCCUGGAAAUACCUUUAUUUUUCACUUUCCUGAGUUCAUCAUCUUUCACAGGGUGUUUAUUGAUCAGAAGCAAUGCUCAUCUGGGGUUCAGCCACGAAGCGGUGUUUCAAACCAGGCAAAGAGGUACAAGGUGGACAUUUCCAGCCUGUUCAUCUGAACUGAUUCAACUGUCGUCAUCUUCGUGCCCGGAGAGAACAGUAAGCCCUCUUCCCUCCUCCUCUCUUACUUGCUCUAUGUCACAGAAGUACAGUUAACAAAUUAAGGUAUUUCAUCUGUGUUAAGCAGAAACACUUUUGUCAUCUCAGUCAAGAAAUGAACUAAUGUUAAGUGAUGGAAAGUUCUGAAUAAUAAGAACAGUUUAGUUGGGUUCAACAUGAGGUUAUAACAAAGUUGAAGUAAUGGGGAAAUUGAAACUGAAUAUGCUUAAAUGACUUUCCACAGUUGUUGGGUUUUUUGUUUGUUUUUUAAUUAACUAUAAGUAACAAUAUGCAAAGGUCAUCUGGAAACAAAGACAGUAUGUUUUUAAUGGUCAAGAAUUUGACAUCCAGUUUGAAAUAAUUAACCCUUAUGGUAGGAGUUUCCCUAAAGUCUCAAAACACACAUAAAACAUUCUCACCGUGUUGCACUGAUUACGACCAGAAGAUGAUUUAUUAUGCUGAUUUUAGUUCAAUAUGAACUGGAAAACCUAAAGAAUUUCGGGUUUACUUGAGGACAGAGAGUACAUAACAUCCCACUAAUCUUUCACAGUAUGAUUUUGCUUCGGGGAAGGAAGCUGGCUAAAAUGUACAUGCCAAGUUCAAGACUUUAAGGAGGACUGAGACCUAAUUCGCUUUAUUUCUUCCUAAUGGAAGAUUUGUCAUUGAUAUAGAAGGUAAUGAUUGAUUUUUUUCAAGUUCUGGUUAUUGGUGCUUCUUAGACCAUAGGUUCAUUUAUUCAUCAGAGAUUAGGAAGCACCUACUAUGUUCAAGAGAACAUACAUAUAAAUUUAAGAACCCAUUGUUGAAUCCUUUCUUAUACUUUUAUUAUUUUAUGAUUAGGUAAUACUUUUUGGCUUUCCCAUACUUUUGUUAGACUUUUUGAACGGACUUUUGUUACAGUGAUAUUUCUAGCCACUGACAAACAAGUUGCUUUGUUCUCACAACUUUUCAUCUGGCAUUAAAUGUCGUUGCCCAAAAGAUUAUACGAUAUUGUAUUUUUAAUUCAAGCCCAAAUUAUAGCAUCUUAAAUGAAAUUAGAGCCAAGUCCCACUGGUAUUUGAAAGUGGCAAUUCAUGAUUUCUCCAUAUUAUGUAUUCCAGCAUUUUUUUCUGUUUUCCCAACCUGUUCUGCCGACCGGUUUCCAAUUCUGAACCACGUCUUCAAGCAUGAUUCUCCAGGAAAUUUCAUACAAUUGGGAAAUAUUCUCUCUAUUUCGGAAACAAAUAGCAGCUAAUUUGAUAACAAAUCAUGGCGGAAAUGCAAAGUGUACAUUCAUUUCCCCAAAUCUGACCUUUCUUUCCCGCAAAACUACAGCGAAGAAAUCCCAUUCGUGGAUUUCAUCUCUGUCAGAACAAAAAUAUCGAAUUGCCUCCUCUCUGAAAUCUGCAUUUAUCAAUUAUGGCUUUCUCCAGGAAAUUCUAAUUUGCAAAAAUGCUCUAUAUCCCAAGCUUUAACAGUUGGAGGUAGAUGUCCUUAAGGAUGGGGAGGGGGGGGAAGUUCUUUUUCAAAUGGCACAUUUACUAAUUAUAAAAUGCUCUUAUCUCUUUGCGGCCAAAGCCAAAAUGAACAUGUGCCUCGUACUAAGAAAUCCCAGGAUUGUCACAACCCGUGCCAGCUGUUGAGGUUAUGACACCUGUGCCAGCUUCGCCAGCUCUGCCCACUGUCAUCUGCUCCAACUGCUCCAUCUGCACUGUUUGUACCAAUUCUCCCAUUUCUGCAUCUGUACCUUCUGCAGAGACGUUUCCAACAAUGCCAGCUGUGUCAUUGGUGCCAAAUAUGCCAGAUGUUCUAUUUGUCCACCCUGGGCCAAAUCAAUGCAGUUCUGUGCUCAUUAGUUUUAGCUGGUAGAUUCUAUUUUACAAUUUUUUGAGACGUAUUUAGAUGGAAUCCAGGCAAAAAUCCCCCUUACAACCAUUUCACAUCGCGCUCUCCAAUCUUUUUUGCCACUGCAACUUUAUCUAGCAACAUAAAGUUGGUCAAUGUCCUCUUGAUCAUAUUAAACUCAUUCUCAGUAACCAGUUCAGCGUUCAUUGUGGCAGGGCCUUUCCUGUAUAGAAGAAAAUAUCGCAGAAGCUGUGGGACACAACAAUAAAUUGGCGAGCUAAUUAAAAAAGAAUAACUUCGUUCAGAUAAACAAAUUGAGAAUGUGCAAAAAUCAAUAUGUCUAGCCGAUUAGAGUAAUCUAUGGCAUAAUGUUCUAUUAGGCUGUCUGUUUAUUGGUCUUUAAUUGACAGAGUUACACAUGUGGAUUGAUGUGUGUGUCAUCCAUUCCCCUUCUCUGGGUUAGGGUUAGUAUUAACCAAGGAUGCAUGCAGGGGUAGGGCCAGGCUGUUGCACUGGCCACUUACUGAUGGAAGGAAGCAAGGUCAGGAGCUUAUGCUUUGGCCAGAAGCUAACUCUCUCUCUUCUCUCAAAUGUCAAUUCUACCAGUGCCAACACAAACCAUUCUUUGGAUAAGAAUGUGCUUUCAUCUGUAAGGUUGAAAAACAACAAAAAAAGUAUUUUCAUACUCAAAAGCUCAGUAUUCUAUAUCAUUGCAAACCCAAAAGUAGUGUUUUCCUCUUCUCUUCUCUUUUUUCUUUUCUGUUCUCAUUUAGGAAGGCCUUUCUUAAGGAGCACUAACACUUAAUCUCCAAACUUUACACCAGAUUCUUUCCUCUCAAAUCAUUUUCAGAUAUGGAGGAUGAACCCAGAGUCUGUCAUAUGAAAAUUGAUGCUUUACUAAGGAAUGUGAGGUCCAGAGGACAUCACACUACCUCCUGUUUAUUCAACUUGGAUUAUUUAACCUGCUGUUUCCAAUGAUGAAAGUUGUAACCAUUCACCAGUGCUUCUAAGCAUUAAUGGCAACGUUCUUGACAACAGAUAAAAUGGCUCACGAUUACAUCCAAACAUUUGUACUCAGUCUAUGCAUGAGGCAAGGUACAGUGAGGAGAUGUCUCAACAGCUUUAUGAGGUUUCAAACUCCACGCAGUAAACACUAAGCUUCCACAGGGAAUUAACAAAUUACCCUAAAACAAAUGAAUCUGUCUAGGUCUUAGGCUAAAAAUCCUAGUGACCUCAUUUCUUCCCAGACAAGGGUCUGUAGGCUGAGAGUCCAGACACACAUGGGCAAUGGUUUCAGGACAUGCCAGUAUUCCUGUAUGGGUAAAAUACCCUCGAUUCAAUCAUACUUUCCCCUUAUGGGGUCAGUGAUCAUUUCUCAGUAUCCCGAGUCCUUCACUCUCUUACCCAAAUUUCAUUUGUUUCUGAUCUUUUCACUCCAUACCUUUUUAUAAUCUUCCCUGAACGUAGAGAGGAGACUGAAUGAACAUUGAUUAAGUAAAAUGGUGGCUUUCUAUCAAAAUAUGCCCAAGUUCCUAACUUGAGAGAUCAAGUCUGAGUCUGCUGACCCUACUUCUAGAAAUGCCACAGACUUUUUUUAUUCUAAUUCCCUAUGUUCCAAGAUGCCAAGAGGGAACAUCCGUAAUUAGGAUGAAAAUAGUUUUAUGAUUCGUUGGGAGUGUACCCUGUAUCUUCCCAGAACAUUUUAAUUAAUAUAACUUCUGCUCCCUGCUGACAAAGAUGUUUCCGAUGGUGUUUUGGCCCAACAUAUUUACCGCCUUCAUUGAUGUGAGUCAUUUGAAUACUUGGAGGAAUCCAUAAACUUCAAGGUUUCAUGUAAAAUACAGAAUCGAGUGUCACGAGUGCCACGGAGGCAUACACAGCUAAGAAUAUUUUUCAUCGCCUAUCAGGCCUUUUGUUUUUAAUAUGGUGACCAUGAGAACAUUCAGAUCUGCUGGUAAAGAAUAGAAAACCACACAUUUCAAAGACACGCAGACAAAAAGAUCCAAAUGACUUUGAAAUUUGCUCUCAUGACAGUUAGCUUCCCCUUUAGAUAGUUGUUUCUCUGGAAUGAGUAAGUCACCAUGGACUUACUGUGCAUUGAUCUCCUAGCCACUUGGAGUAAACAGAGCACCUUGGACCUCUUAAAUUUCUUGACUACGUUUCUACUACUUCCUCAAUCCCACUGUCCACACUUUCAAUUUUGGAAGAACACAAAUCCUAAUGUAGUUCCCUCAUCAGUAGGAGCAUCAGUACACUCUGACUCUUUAAAUCACAAGUACACUAGCAGCUAUGACAGCAAUAUUGAGGAAAAUGCUAUCAAAGAUGGCAAUAACCACACUGAGGGGCCAUGGCUCCAUCAGCACUAUUGCUGUCAUUUUCACGACCUGAUUACUUAUUUUCAGGAAAAUGACAUUGUUUGACUCACUAAUGUUCCAAGCCUUAUAUUCAGUUCCUAAAUAGUCCCCGAACUCCAGGGCUAAUACACGUAGGUGAGCUAUCCACACCUAGAAGUGAAGACUGUCAAAAUGUCAAACAGUUUGAGGAAGUAGGGAAAGAGGGUAAUAGAAAACAAAGCAAGGCAAGGACAGAAAAGAAUAAAUCACUGCACCAAACCAGUAAGAUAAACGGAUAGAAGUGGGUUGUCUUGGUUGGAAACAGGAGAACAGAGAUCAUUAGUACAGACCCACUAAUCCAAUCAGAAAACAGGUGCUCAGAGCAUAUCCGAGCUCACACAACUUAUUAAUGGCAAAAUCAAGUGCAGAGAAAACCUAUCUUCAGGUUCGUCAUGUGUAAACUGUAAAAUACAGAUGAUAGUAAUUGUAUGGAACCCAAAGAGUUUUGAAGAUUAAGUGCGUCAAUUGGCAGAAAGAAUUGACAACAGGGUCUGACAGACAGUAAACACUGUGGGUUAGCCCUCCUCCUCCUCAUGAUUAGGAUACUUGGAUCUGUGGGAUUUUUAUUCUCUUAUAUCAUACAAGCUGUAUCUAGGAUACGGCGGCUGUAUCAGCCCUGAUGCUGAGACUUCAGCAUCAAUUUAAAGUCACACUUUUGAGUCGCUUGGGUGGCUCAGUCAGUUAAAUGUCUGGCUCUUGAUUUUGAAUCAGGUCAUGAUCUCAUGGUUCCUGGGUUCAAGCCCCAUGGUCGGGCUCUACGCUGACAGCACAGAAGCUUCUUGGGAUUCUUUCCCUCCUUCUCUCUGCCCCUCCCCGCUCACGAGCGUGCGCUCUCUCUCUCAAAAUAAAUUUUAAAAAAUAAACAUUUAAAAAAAUACAUAAAUCAUCUUAUUUCCAGGUUUGUAGCUGGACCAUCAAAUUUGUAUUACAAAAAAGGAAGCUGGAAUGAGACUCUGAAGUUAAGCAAUGACCCAACUGUUUUCUGUAUCCUACCUGGCACACAAUGUAGAUAUGUAGUCAAUGCAGAGAACACGGAGGUGCCCAUAUGAAUGGAAGGAAGCAAAGGCAUGAUUAAUCUAGACUAAGAGAGGCCACAGCAACAGCAAUAUUUGGCUUCAGGAAGAAAACACAUCUCAGUCAGUAGCGUGUUCACACAUUCUCAUGCAGAUACUUCCCAGUUAUCUCUUUGGAGCUAACCACAGGUAAUGGGUGUGGAGGAUUGCUUGCAACCACCAGAAGCUAGAAAGGCAAGGGAGGAUCUUCCCUAGCGCCUUAAGAAGGCACAUGGCUCUGUAGACACCUGGAAUUGGGACUUGGAGCUUCUAGAACUGUGAGAGAAUACAUUUCUGUGGUCUUCAGAAAUGCAUUCUAGGGUGUUUUAUUGCUGCAGCUCUGAGAAACUAACACAGCUUCCUUUCCCUAAAUGUGGAUCAUUAGAUGUGUCUCUAAUACAGGACCCAGGUCCUUGCUGAGCAAUAGAAAGAAUAAGACCGCAGGGAUUCCAGAAGAAAAAUGCCAUUCCAAAUGGAACCAGUUAACCAUGUCCAGAAAUUAGGAGGAGAAGACAGGAAGGAAAUUAUAGUAGUUACAUAAUAAAAUGAGUGUCUCAUAUUUGUAAAGCACUUUAGACUUCCAUUUUUUACUAUCAAUCACCAGGGUGGGCAAUGCUAGACCAACUGAAUCAGAACCUCUUAGGAAUAAAGACCCAGAAGUGUGUGUUUUGAAGAGGCUCACCAGGCUAUCCAGAUGCACCAGGAGAGUUAAGAAACCACUUUGUAAGCCCAGUAGUGCUCUUUUCUCUUCAUUAAAGCAGCCUCAUAACAGAGACAUUUAAAUACAUUUAAAUUAAUUAUUUAGAACUUCAGAAUGCUGAGCUUUAAAUGCAAAAUGUUACUUCAUGAAAAAGGUUUGGAUCAAACUGGGUUAACUUGUCCUUUCUUGGCUUCUGCUUUCAGACUCAUCUCUUGCCUCACGGCAAUACGUUCAAGUUGGACUGAAUCACAAAAGCCAGAGAUAGAACAUUAGCUCCUGAGUUUGCUCCAUAUGCUCCUGUAGGAGUUUGCCUUGUAGUUAACCUCGUUACAACUCAAGAUCCAUCAUAACAAGUGCUGGGAUGCCUGAUGCAGACAGAAACAUGUUAGAGAUAAGUCACUGUGCUGGCAUUUAGGGCGACUGCAAAUACAUGAUGAUACCUAAACCCUGUUCAUUGUAUCCUAAGUAUGAAUCCACAGUGGGUUGGACAUACACUAGGUAGCUUUUCGUGGUUUUUUUGUUUGUUUUAGAGAGACAGUGUGCGUGCACAAGCAGGAGAGAGGAACUGAGUGAGAGGGAGAGAGAGAGAGAGAGAGAGAGAGAGAGAGAGAAUCUCAAGCAGGCUCCACACUCAGUUCAUAGCCCAUUGUGGGGCUUGAUCCCAUGAACCUGGGAUCAUAACCUGAGCCAAAAUCAAGAGCUGGACGCUCAACUGACUGAGCCACCCAGGCACCCCUAGAUAGCUUUUUUCAAGAAAACACUUCAAAUUGUAUGUAAAACACAUUUUUAUGCACGGAAGCAGAGUUUCCCAACCUGUGACAAUGGUACACUUGUGUGACCCAGGUGGCUCAUGGAUGCCAAGAUGGCGAUACCUUCAUCUUGGGGCAGCCAGAGCUUUUGAGCUAGUUGCCUUCAGACAUUAGCAGCCUCACCCCAUUGGCCAUACACAUAUUACCAUUUUCCAUACGUGCCAUGACACAAAGAAUGUUGUAGAACCAAACAGCACAAGCCAAGUGCUGGGGCAGCACUCGCUAGACAUCUAGAUUCCAUGGGCCAGUAACAUUAAGAAGAAAAAAACAUAGAAGAAACUAUGUGGAGUUCCCAAGUUUUUAUUUUGGAUGUUAAUACAACACAAGUAUUAUCCUUGGCUAUAAUUUUAUAAAGGAAAAGGGAGUGUUGAGCUGUUUGUUUCCAAAAUAUUCACAUUUUAAAGUAGCUCACAUCAUGCAAGAGAGCACAGUUCAAACAUGUAGUGCUAAUAAAAUGCUUUAUCAAGAGUAAUUGAGUCUUCUCUGCCUGCUUUUUAUUUUUUAAGUUUUCAGUCCUAUUGAAAAGCUGAAAUAACAUUGCAAUGAAUAUCCAUCCCCUGAAUUCUUUAAAUUAUCCACAUUUGCUUUAUCUCUACCUUUUCUUUCUGCAGAACCAUUUGAAAGUUACGACGUCAUGCUGCUUCGCUCCUGAGUACUUUGUCCUGAAUCCAUAAGAAAAAAAAUUCUCUGAGGCUCUGGAUGGCUAAGUCUGUUAAGCGUCCGACUCUUGAUUUCAACUCAGGUCAUGAUCUCGUGGUUUUUUAGUUCGAGCUCUGCAUCAGCUCUGUGCUGACCGUGUAAAGCUUGCUUGGGAUUCUCUCUCUCUCCCUCUCUCUCUGCCCCUCCCUUGCUUGCAUGCGAGUGUUCUCUCUCAAAAUAAAUAAAUAUAAAUUUUUUUUAAUUCUCCAAAACAGCAACAGUACUGUUGUCCCAUGAAAGUUAACAAGAAUUCAAUGUCAC
Molecule: long non-coding RNA, 8091 nt
Filed under: Lynx pardinus (Iberian lynx)
Lineage: Eukaryota; Metazoa; Chordata; Mammalia; Carnivora; Felidae
Source: RNAcentral